GCGGACCUACGGGGCCGCAUAACCAUCAGUCUCCACAAGAGGCUGAGCUAAAACGGAAGACAGAAA
RNAcentral lists this non-coding RNA (66 nucleotides) under unclassified sequences. RNAcentral describes it as "L2-Alphaproteobacteria ribosomal protein leader". It matches the Rfam family "L2-Alphaproteobacteria ribosomal protein leader". The record is from RNAcentral.